GACGAACGCUGGCGGCGUGCCUAAUACAUGCAAGUCGAACGCAGUGGGGACGGGUGAGUCACACGUGGGUAACCUCCCAUCAGAGGGGAUAACACUUGGAAACAGGUGCUCAACCGAUACUGAUGUAUGGACCCGCGGUGCAUUAGCUAGUUGGUGAGGUAACGGCUCACCAAGGCCACGAUGCAUAGCGGACAUGAGAGGAGGAUCGGCCACACUGGGACUGAGACACGGCCCAGACUCCUACGGGAGGCAGCAGUAGGGAAGCUUCGGCAAUGGACGAAAGUCUGACCGAGCAACGCCGAGUGAGUGAAGAAGGUUUUCGGAUCGUAAAACUCUGUUGUUAGAGAAGCGGUAUCUAACCAGAAAGCCACGGCUAACUACGUGCCAGCAGCCGCGGUAAUUC
This 403-nucleotide ribosomal RNA is filed under the name uncultured bacterium. RNAcentral describes it as "partial 16S ribosomal RNA". It matches the Rfam family "Bacterial small subunit ribosomal RNA", at positions 28 to 526 of the family's 1533-position model. The record is from RNAcentral.